RNAcentral lists this ribosomal RNA (443 nucleotides) under uncultured bacterium. Its description in RNAcentral is "partial 16S ribosomal RNA". It matches the Rfam family "Bacterial small subunit ribosomal RNA", at positions 338 to 795 of the family's 1533-position model. The record is from RNAcentral.
CCUACGGGAGGCAGCAGUGGGGAAUAUUGGGCAAUGGGCGCAAGCCUGACCCAGCAACGCCGCGUGAAGGAAGAAGGCUUUCGGGUUGUAAACUUCUUUUGUCAGGGACGAAGCAAGUGACGGUACCUGACGAAUAAGCCACGGCUAACUACGUGCCAGCAGCCGCGGUAAUACGUAGGUGGCAAGCGUUAUCCGGAUUUAUUGGGUGUAAAGGGCGUGUAGGCGGGAAUGCAAGUCAGAUGUGAAAACUAUGGGCUCAACCCAUAGCCUGCAUUUGAAACUGUAUUUCUUGAGUGCUGGAGAGGCAAUCGGAAUUCCGUGUGUAGCGGUGAAAUGCGUAGAUAUUAGGAGGAACACCAGUGGCGAAGGCGGUCUGCUGGACAGCAACUGACGCUGAGGCGCGAAAGCGUGGGGAGCAAACAGGAUUAGAUACCCUAGUAGUC